Sorghum bicolor (sorghum) is the source of this 7433-nucleotide long non-coding RNA. RefSeq lists it as uncharacterized. The record is from RefSeq and is a predicted model, not a curated record. The transcript is spliced from 2 exons. Lineage: Eukaryota; Viridiplantae; Streptophyta; Magnoliopsida; Poales; Poaceae.
UACCCGCCCGCCACUGCUACCCAACCCAACCCGCGGCUUCUCUGGGUGGGGUUUCGAUUUUGGUUUUGGUUGGGAGUACAGACCUAGGAUAUACAUUUUGCUUUGCUACGCGCGCGCAUCCAGGUUGUUGAACGAUACGCACUCUGCUCGAUUUAGGAUCUUUGUCGCUUGCCAUGGCUAGCUGGGCAAUAAGAGGUUAACCAUUCAGCUCUGUGUUUGUUCCAAAUUCAGUUUGGGCAGGUAGGCUUUGCUGUUACGUGAUCCCACCAUUAUGUUCUAGCCUAGGAAUCGGUAGCAUUCACAGUGAAUCCAGUAGAUCGGUAGGCCCUGGAUUGCUGUACGUCAAGAUGCUUAGUGAUUCAGUGCUAAUAAUACCAUUUAAUUGAGAUUCAGUGCUAGUACUAUUUGUUGAAAACUGUACUCAACUUCCUUGGCAUCAAUGGCAGUAGUGAAAGAAAAUAUUCUAAUUCAUCUUUUUUGUUUAAUGGACUUGAUUUUCUCAUAUCUGAAAUGUCGGUUUUGCAUGGGCCUUGAUUAUUAAGCUAGAACUGUGGCACUAUAAGUGAGGUAGCAGUAGCAGUAGCAACCUUCAGUGUCUACUUUCGUUUUUGUUAUCCAAGAGAAUAGCUUCAUAUUUGUAAUUUUGCAUUUCCUUAGCACUUUUAAUGUAUACAAUUGAAGGCGUAUUUUUUGGCUCGUAGUUGGGUUGCCCAAGAUCCAAUGCUCAUGCCUUUUCCAUUCUAUUCUAAUGCAGAGUCUAUACACUUACAGCAUGUAGAUUCUGAGCGGUAUAACAUCUUCUAAGUGAUUGGAUUUUGUUACUAUGAAGUCUGACUGAAAUUUAGAUGUUUCACUCCAUACUAAUCGAAAGAGCCUUUUGAUCUAUGUCUAAACUGAGAAUAGUGGGUCUGCUCAUCAGUAAUUGAUAUAUGUCCUUUCACUCCAUUCUUCAAUUGUUUUUUGAAGUCAAAUCCCUUGUGUUUUAUUCUUAUUAUUUUGUGAUGAUUACUUGGUCACCAUUAUAUCUUGUAACUAUUCAAUUUAUUUGAGCAUCGAUAAUUAUGGUAUUUAUUGAUUUAUUGAAACUGUCCCUGUAUUUUCUUUUUUUUUAAAAAAAAGAAAAUAUAUUUUAGUUGGUUGUUCAGUUUAUUCCCCAAUUUAACAUCUGUCCUUUUGGUAAGUCUCCUAGCCUUGCUGCGUAGAUUGUAGGGUGGGGAGUAGAUGGGAUUGGAGCGUGUUCGUUGGCGGCGGUGGGGAGCCGUCGCGUUCAGGGAUUAGGGCACACGAGAGGAACGCCGGGCGCCCUAGGGUGUCGAGUUGACACAAUCCCUGGCUAUCUUUAUUCAUCUGAUAUGAUAGCCUUUUAUAGGCAAUUACAAACUGACUCUUACUAGGAUUAUAGAAUAAGAAACAAACUCUAAGACUUCUAAGAUUUCCUAAACUAAUCCAGAGUCCUAGACUCAUACUAGUUACUGAGGCUAUGCGGCCAGCAUAUGGGCCAAGCUGGACGCUGCAGCUCAGCCCUGCUCUCUAGCCUUGCGCCUCUCAUAUGUCUUGCCCACCAUAACAUCUCUCCCCUCCUCGGGAAAUAGCUCAUCCGCGAGAUGGAACGAUGGAUGAGCUUCACGAAAUGCUGGAACUGGCUCCCACGUAGCUUCAGAUGUGGGCAUGCCCUCCCAUGCCACCAGAACAUGCCAAACGCCCCGACGAAGCUCCGAGCGCAACACCCUGUCCGGCUGUCGGAGUGGCCUCCCGUGACGAAGAGGAGGUAGCACCGGGUCACUCUGAGGAGGCGGACCGCGGAACGGCUUCAACACGCCCACAUGAAAGACGUCGUGGAUCCGAGCUCCUCCGGGAAGGCGCAAACGAUACGCGACGUCACCCAUGCGCUCGAGCACCUGAAAAGGACCGGCGUAUUUGGGACCGAGUUUGCCACGCCCGCCCGGAACCAAAGCCUGCGUAUGACGAUGUAACAUGCGCAGCAAGACCCAGUCGCCGACAGCAAACUCCAGUGCACGGUGCUUGGCGUCGUAAAAGCGGCGCGCAUAUUCCUGAGCGUGGAGCAGGCGAGCGCGCACCUCCUCCAAGAACUCGUCUCUGUCAGCCAGCAGAUUAUCGACCGCAUCGGUAUGCGCUGUCCAAGAUGUAUAAGGUAACAGGGCCGAAGGAGCACGCCCAUAGACGACCUGGAACGGCGUGGCUUGGAGCGCAGUGUGGUACGCCGUGUUGUAGCAAAACUCCGCCCAAGGCAACCAAUCAAGCCAGUCGCGAGGGCGAUCUCCUGUAAGGCAGCGAAGAUACAUAGUGAUCGUCUUGUUGACCACCUCCGAUUGUCCGUCCGUCUGAGGAUGAAACGCCGUGCUCAUUCGCAGCUUGACACCGGCAUGGCGGAAGAGGUCACGCCACACAUGGCCCGUGAACACCGGAUCGCGGUCACUCACAAUGGACUCCGGAAAGCCAUGAAGGCGAACGAUCUCUUGGAAGAACGCUCGAGCGACGGAAGACGCCGUGUAGGGGUGGCCCAAUGCGAUGAAGUGCGCAUACUUCAAAAAUCUGUCCACCACCAUGAGCAGCACACUUUUGCCAUGCACUUUGGGCAAAGCUUCGACGAAGUAGAUGGAGAUAUCGGCCCAAACGCGAGAAGAAACCGGCAGAGGUUGUAAGAGACCAGCCGGGUGCAGCGUCUCAGUCUUAUUCUGCUGACACGUUGGGCACGAUCUGACGAAUUCGCCCACAAGGCGGCGGUCAUGCUCGACGUAGAAGUGCUGCCAUAGCCGCUGCAGAGUACGCUGAAUCCCUUCGUGGCCACCGGUGUGAGCGAGCUGGAGCACAUCGUCCAGACGGGCAGAUGUGGCGGGGACGUAGACACGCCCUUCGUACAGCGUGAGGCCAUCCCGGACUGUCCAGGCUGGACCGAGCGCCCCAGUGCCCGCGGCUUCGCGGUGUUGGCGUAGCGCGUCCUCUGUGUCUAGCUCGUGGCGGAUGUCGUCGUAGAGUUGAAACGUCGGGGUUGACAAGGCUGUCAGGAGGGGACCUGCAUGUGGAACAGCCGCCAGCAGAGGGACAUCGCCAUCCCGUCGGGACAGAGCGUCGGCCACCACGUUUCCUUUGCCUGGACGAUAUUCCACACUGAAAUCAUAUCCAAACAACUUGCUUACCCAUUGGUGCUGAGGGAUCGUCGACAGGCGUUGGUCCAGCAUGAACUUGAGGGCGUAGUGAUCGGUGCGGACGACGAAGGUGCAUCCCCAUAAAUAUGGUCGCCAAUGGUGAAUGGCUUAGACGAGCCCAAUAAGCUCGCGCUCGUAAGCCGCCGUCUUGAGGUGUCGGGCUGCAAAGGGGCGACUGAAGAAUGCAAUGGGACGCCCCUCUUGAUGUAGGACAGCGCCGAAACCGAAGCCUGAUACGUCGCAGUCCACGACGAAUGUCGCGGCGAAGUCCGGCAACUGGAGCACCGAGGCUGAGCAUAGAGCCCCCUUGAGCGCCGAGAAAGCUGUGUCCGCCUCUUCAGACCAGCGAAACCCCUCUCUGGGCCAGGGGCGCCGUGAUCGUACCAUAGUCCCUGAUAAAGCGGCGGUAGUAUCCUGAGAGGCCAAGAAACCCGCAGAGGCCGCGUGCUGAGCGCGGUUGUGGCCAAGACUGAACUGCAACAACUUUGGUGGCGUCCAUGGCCACCCCUUCAUUGGAGAUAACAUGGCCCACAUAAUGGACCGAAGUGGUGGCGAAGGUGCACUUAGAACGCUUGAGAUGCAGGUGAUGCUGGCGAAGGACGUCGAAGACGGCCCGGAGAUGUUGGAGGUGCUCUAUCCAUGUGGCACUGUAUACCAGUAUGUCAUCGAAGAACACCAGGACGCAGCGACGCAAGAACGGCUUGAGGACGAUGUUCAUAAGUGCUUGGAACGUCGAAGGAGCAUUUGACAGGCCGAAGGGCAUGACCAGAAAUUCGAAGUGGCGAUGGUGCGUCCUGAAGGCCGUCUUUUCAAUAUCCCCAGCGUGAACGCAGACCUGAUGGUAGCCCGACCGGAGAUCCAGUUUAGUGAAGAAGUUGACGCCGUGCAGUUCGUCGAGCAACUCUUCGACGACCGGGAUCGGGAAUUUGUCUUUGACCGUCACCGCGUUGAGCGCCCUGUAAUCGAUGCAAAAACGCCAGGACGUGUCGUGCUUGUGGACCAACAAGACCGGCGCCGAAAAGGGGGACGUGCUCUCCCGAAUGACCCCCUGUUGGAGCAUAGCGUCGCAUUGUCGCUCUAGCUCAUCCUUUUGGAGAUGUGGGUAGCGAUAGGGGCGCACCGCGAUCGGCUCUGUGCCUGGCUUCAGGUGGAUGCGAUGAUCACAGGGCCGUUCGGGGGGCAGCCCUAUCGGUUCAGUGAAGAGAUCGGCGAACAAGUCGAGCAGGCGCUCCAGGAGGGUCGGCUCAGCCCCCUUGUCGAUGUAGAUAGUGCUGGCGAGGUGGGUGCGAGCCUGCUGUGCGGUAGACGUCGCGUUGGGCGAGCCGACGCCCGUCCACAAUACCCAGCGGCCCUGGAGAACAAACGCCAUACGGAGGCCGUCGAAGUCCCACAAGAUGGGGCCUAGAGUUCUCAGCCAUGAGAUCCCCAGAACCAUGUCGUAAUGGGGCAGGGGCACGGCGAAGCAGUCCACCGCGAAGUGCGUGUCCUCGAUCUGGAGGGGCACAGCACGGUUGAGACCCCGACAAGCGACCUGGUCGCCGUUGGCCACAACGACGUGUGUGCUGGGGUGGUCAUCCACCUGGAGUCCGGCACGGCGCGCCGCGGCAACGUCGAUGAAGUUAUGUGUGCUGCCCGAAUCGAGGAGAGCAGUAAACCAGUGCGUCCCGAUCUGGACAGGGAGCUGCAUUGUCUUCUCCACCCGUAUGCCCGUGAUCGCGGCCAGGGAGAUCAUGGGUUUUUCAGGAUCGAAAGGAGCGUCCGCAGGUGCGGUGUCGUCGUCCGGUUCCUCCACCACAUAAUCGGCUGCCUCCAAGAAGAAUAGGCGUGCACACUUGUGUCCCCGCACAUAAGGCUCGUCACAAUUAUAGCAAAGGCCCAUCUUGCGCCGAUCAGCCAUCUCCUCCGGGGUCAGCUGCUUGAAGGGUCGCGUAGAUGUCGCUGAUGCGGUUGUCGAACCCGCCGGCGCCGGCAGGGCGGCCAGUGUGGUCGGGGCACGCCGUGCUGGCCGCUAGCCCGGGGCCUGUGCAGCGUUGUGGCGCUCAUACGCUCGCGCCAGACGCAUAGCCUGCUGCAAGUCUUGAGGGUCCAUGAGUUCGACAUCGACCCGGAUGUAUUCGGGCAAUCCCCCCAUGAACAGGCAAGCCUUCUGCAAGGUGGAGAGGUCGUCGGCAUGAGCGGCUCAUGCCUGGAACGCCGCCAUAUACUUGUCGACUGAGCCACCGAACGGAAGCCGCGUCAGUUCGGCCAGGUGAUUCGUGCUGAGCGCCGGGCCAAAACGUUGCUGACACAUGCGGCGGAAGUCAGGCCAGGUCGGGCGACCCAUGUCUGCCUCCAAGACCAUGUACCAUUGGAGGGCGACAUGCUGGAGGUGAUAUGACGCGAGCCAGGUCUUCUCCACCUCCCGCGUAUUUUGACCGCGGAAGAAUUGCUCACACUUGUUGAGCCAGCCGAGAGGGUCGCAAGUGCCGUCGUAAGUUGCGAAGGUGAGCUUGUGGUAUCUGGGAACGGCAACCCCAUCGGUCUCUGCAGUGGGGGGAACCGCCGGUGGGCGCGUCGACAGGUGCGAUGUCGGUGCGACGAAGUAUGGCAUACCCACCGAAGGAAACACAGGCUGCGGUGACGGUGAGUGAGGAAAGACGAUGUGGUUUAUUGGAACGCCGCCCGGCGGUGGAUGUGUUCGCGGUGCCGCCCCUGGUGGUCCGGUGGCGGCCAGCGGGACCGAGGUCGACGGCGUGAAGGAGACCGAGUCCAAAGCCGCCGAGACUUCCGAGAUCACGGACGCCGAGGAAGCCGGCAGCGCCUGGACUCCGCCGAACCCAGGCAUCCCGAACUGAGUAAACGCCGGUUGGCCAUCGAUAGCCGAGAGGCGCGUGGCCUGGCUUGCCAGGUGCUGGUUGACAGCCGUCAUCUGCAACUGCAUGCUAGUGAGGGCCGUCGUCAAGGCAUUGAGGGCCUCGGCGACUGAAGAGAUGCCUGGUGGUGGUGCCGAUGAGGUGGUGACGAGGGGCAGGGUGGGGGCGGCCGUAACGCCGACCGUGGAAACGCCCGUCAUCAGCGGCACAGGAGCGGAAGGUUCCCCAGACGUGGCCAUCGUCUCUGAUACCAAGUUGGUAAGUCUCCUAGCCUUGCUGCGUAGAUUGUAGGGUGGGGAGUAGAUGGGAUUGGAGCGUGUUCGUUGGCGGCGGCGGGGAGCCAUCGCGUUCAGGGAUUAGGGCACACGAGAGGAACGCCGGGCGCCCAAGGGUGUCGAGUUGACACAAUCCCAGGCUAUCUUUAUUCAUCUGAUAUGAUAGCCUUUUAUAGGCAAUUACAAACUGACUCUUACUAGGAUUAUGGAAUAAGAAACAAACUCUAAGACUCCUAAGAUUUCCUAAACUAAUCCAGAGUCCUAGACUCAUACUAGUUACUGAGGCUAUGCGGCCAGCAUAUGGGCCAAGCUGGACGCUGCUGCUCAGCCCUGCUCUCUAGCCUUGCGCCUCUCAUAUGUCUUGCCCACCAUAACACCUUUACAGAAUUAGCACGGAGCAUGAAAAGUUUGGUUUUGAAGUCGACACAAUCAUGGGUUUGUAGGAAAGAUACGAAAUAAUGAGGAAUUAGUGCCUAAAGUUGGUACUCUUGGCCUUGAUAUGAUGUUGUGGACAUGUACUGUGCAGGUGAGCAUAUUUUUAUUUUUUAUGCUUUUCUGACAUAGUCUUAUUCACCUUUAUUUUGGUAGUUGUUGGGCUUUACUCAGUUUGUUUAAAGAUUCCUGUCCCCCCUACUCCUGCUUCAAGUGUAUCCAUAUGUUUUAGCUGAACUAGAACAUGCAGCCUUAGAAAAAAUAUGACUGAAAUUCUUAAAGUGUAUGUUUUUGCUCUCAUAUGUUUCUCUGGUUGGCACCUUAGGUGCCUGAUAUAAACCACCUUCAAGGAAAUGCCUCGUUUGCAUUUGUUCUUGUAAAAGGAUAUCAGUCAGCAAGCACAAAAGUCGAUUGUGGAAGAGUGCACUAGUCAUCUUUUUUGUCAAUUCUAUAGGUCCAUCAUACUAGUUAGUAGGAUGGAUCUAGUUAGAGUAGUGAAAAUCUGAAUUUUAUUUGUAAAGGAUGUGUUUCCUGAACUACACAAACUAUGAACGAACAAUCUUGAAGUUUAUUUCCUGUAACAAAUGUGGCAGGCCAAGAUAGUUUACUUCUACUCUUUGUAUAUUUGGAUGAUGACUCUGACUUAUGUGAUAUGGUCAGAUUUGGUAUUAUAUAUAUGUUGUGCUGUUGUUCGAUUGGAUUUGAAA